RNAcentral lists this ribosomal RNA (1313 nucleotides) under Paenibacillus rhizosphaerae. Its description in RNAcentral is "bacterial LSU rRNA". It matches the Rfam family "Bacterial large subunit ribosomal RNA", at positions 1 to 1307 of the family's 2925-position model. The record is from RNAcentral. Lineage: Bacteria; Bacillati; Bacillota; Bacilli; Caryophanales; Paenibacillaceae.
AUGGUUAAGCUACUAAGAGCACACGGAGGAUGCCUAGGCGCUAGGAGCCGAUGAAGGACGUGGCGAACAACGAUACUGCCUCGGGGAGCUGUAAGCAAGCUUUGAUCCGGGGAUGUCCGAAUGGGGAAACCCGGCUGAUGUAAUAGUCAGUCACUCAUAACUGAAUACAUAGGUUAUGGUGAGGCAUACCAGGGGAACUGAAACAUCUAAGUACCCUGAGGAAGAGAAAACAAGAGUGAUUCCGUCAGUAGCGGCGAGCGAACGCGGAACAGCCUAAACCGGUCAGCUUGCUGGCCGGGGUUGUGGGACGUCUCACAUGGAGUUACAAAGGAAUUGGUUAGGCGAAGAGGUCUGGAAAGGCCCGGCAUAGAAGGUAAAAGCCCUGUAGCCGAAAGUCAGUUCCCUCCGAGACGGAUCCCGAGUAGUGCGGGGCACGUGAAACCCCGUAUGAAUCUGGCAGGACCAUCUGCUAAGGCUAAAUACUCCCUAGCGACCGAUAGUGAAACAGUACCGUGAGGGAAAGGUGAAAAGCACCCCGGAAGGGGAGUGAAAUAGAACCUGAAACCGUGUGCUUACAAGAAGUCAGAGCCCUGUUUAUGGGUGAUGGCGUGCCUUUUGUAGAAUGAACCGGCGAGUUACGUUCCCGUGCAAGGUUAAGGUGAGAAGCCGGAGCCGCAGCGAAAGCGAGUCUGAAUAGGGCGAUUAAGUACGUGGACGUAGACCCGAAACCGUGUGAUCUACCCCUGUCCAGGGUGAAGGUGCGGUAACACGCACUGGAGGCCCGAACCCACGAAUGUUGAAAAAUUCGGGGAUGAGGUGGGGGUAGCGGAGAAAUUCCAAUCGAACUCGGAGAUAGCUGGUUCUCCCCGAAAUAGCUUUAGGGCUAGCCUCGGUGAAUAGAGUCGUGGAGGUAGAGCACUGAUUGGGUGCGGGGCCCGCAAGGGUUACCAAGCUCAGUCAAACUCCGAAUGCCAUUGACUUGUAACCGGGAGUCAGACAGUGAGUGCUAAGAUCCAUUGUCAAAAGGGAAACAGCCCAGACCAUCAGCUAAGGUCCCCAAGUGUGUGUUAAGUGGGAAAGGAUGUGGAGUUGCACAGACAACCAGGAUGUUGGCUUAGAAGCAGCCACCAUUGAAAGAGUGCGUAAUAGCUCACUGGUCGAGUGACUCUGCGCCGAAAAUGUAACGGGGCUAAACACACCACCGAAGCUAUGGCUUGAUGCUUGCAUCAGGGGUAGGGGAGCGUUGUAUACAGCGUUGAAGGUAUACCGUAAGGAGUGCUGGAGCGUAUACAAGUGAGAAUGCCGGUAUGAGU